GUCGCCUGGGGGUUAGCCACUGUGAGGUUAUGUAGAGGGUGCAUGGUCACCCGUGUUAGCCUUGCGGGAAGGUCUGAGACGUGCAGCAGCAGACUCUCGUGAUGAGAGGCCCCACUAACAGGGGUGCAGGCCAACAGACAAGGCUCUGAUGGUCACACCACACACCCGGCGAUCGGGAGUCAUUCUCGUGAGGGGGAGGUGUGUCGUCGGAAUGAGAUGGUCUGUGCUGAGCGCGUAAAGCGAGAUUGGCUGUCAAAACUUAAUUCAGACUACUACCUAGGCGGC
Non-coding RNA from Schistosoma margrebowiei, 285 nucleotides. NCBI's taxonomy places the organism in Eukaryota, Metazoa, Platyhelminthes, Trematoda, Strigeidida, Schistosomatidae. The record is from Rfam.